AGUAAAUAGAUACCCAGGUAGUCCACGCUGUAAACGAUGUGUGCUGGAUGUUGGGUGACUUAGUCAUUCAGUGUCGUAGUUAACGCGAUAAGCACACCGCCUGGGGAGUACGGCCGCAAGGUUGAAACUCAAAGGAAUUGGACGGGGGCCCGCACAAGCGGUGGAGCAUUGUGGUUUAAUUCGAAGCAACGCGCAGAACCUUACCAGGGGCUUGACGAUGGGGAGGCUGCAGUCAGAGAUGGCUGUUUCUCGCAAGAGACCUCCUGCACAGGUGCUGCAUGGCUGUCGUCAGCUCGUGUCGUGAGAUUGUUGGG
This 314-nucleotide ribosomal RNA is filed under the name uncultured bacterium. RNAcentral describes it as "bacterial SSU rRNA". It matches the Rfam family "Bacterial small subunit ribosomal RNA", at positions 774 to 1079 of the family's 1533-position model. The record is from RNAcentral.